GACGAACCGAGCGAACGUUGUUCGGAAUCACGGGGCGUAAAGGGCGCGUAGGUGGCGGCCCAAGUCCGUGGUGAAAGCUCGCCGCUUAACGGCGAGUCGGCCACGGAGACUGGGUGGCUCGAGCACUGUAGGGGCAGAUGGAAUUCCGGGUGUAGCGGUGGAAUGCGUAGAGAUCCGGAAGAACACCAGUGGCGAAGGCGGUCUGCUGGGCAGUUGCUGACACUGAUGCGCGAAAGCGUGGGGAGCAAACAGG
Molecule: ribosomal RNA, 253 nt
Filed under: uncultured bacterium
Lineage: Bacteria
Description: partial 16S ribosomal RNA
Rfam family: Bacterial small subunit ribosomal RNA
Source: RNAcentral